Molecule: long non-coding RNA, 366 nt
Organism: Myzus persicae (green peach aphid)
Lineage: Eukaryota; Metazoa; Arthropoda; Insecta; Hemiptera; Aphididae
Exons: 3
Source: RefSeq, a predicted model, not a curated record
GCGGGGGGUCGGUAAUACCUCUUUGAACAUGUAUUGCAUUUGUUCAGCAGACGGGGAGGGAAGUAAGGAUGGUUUGCAGUUUUCGGUGAUCACAGGCAUGGUAUCUCGGGGUACUUUAUACUAUGUGUGUAAGUUUCAAAACGAUUGGUCGAAGGGUUGAUUUUAUACGAUUUUUGGAAUUUCAUCAGGUUCUAGUAUGGCUGACGCUGAAGUGCAGGUGCCUAAUGUAUCAAAUAUUGAACAAACAAAUAGCAACAUUCCUUCUACUUCUCAAGAUUUGACUGCAUUGCUGAAGUAUGUUUUCAAACAAGCUACCACCAACAAUUCAUUAUAAUGGACAUCAUGAAAUUCUGGAGUGGAUUGUAG